AGAGUUUGAUCAUGGCUCAGAUUGAACGCUGGCGGCAUGCCUUACACAUGCAAGUCGAACGGCAGCACGGGUGCUUGCACCUGGUGGCGAGUGGCGAACGGGUGAGUAAUACAUCGGAACAUGUCCUGUAGUGGGGGAUAGCCCGGCGAAAGCCGGAUUAAUACCGCAUACGAUCUACGGAUGAAAGCGGGGGACCUUCGGGCCUCGCGCUAUAGGGUUGGCCGAUGGCUGAUUAGCUAGUUGGUGGGGUAAAGGCCUACCAAGGCGACGAUCAGUAGCUGGUCUGAGAGGACGACCAGCCACACUGGGACUGAGACACGGCCCAGACUCCUACGGGAGGCAGCAGUGGGGAAUUUUGGACAAUGGGCGAAAGCCUGAUCCAGCAAUGCCGCGUGUGUGAAGAAGGCCUUCGGGUUGUAAAGCACUUUUGUCCGGAAAGAAAUCCUUGGCUCUAAUACAGUCGGGGGAUGACGGUACCGGAAGAAUAAGCACCGGCUAACUACGUGCCAGCAGCCGCGGUAAU
Molecule: ribosomal RNA, 523 nt
Filed under: uncultured bacterium
Lineage: Bacteria
Description: bacterial SSU rRNA
Rfam family: Bacterial small subunit ribosomal RNA
Source: RNAcentral